GCAACCUGAGUAAAGUGGCGUACGGGUGAGUAACACGUGGAUCAUCUACCUUUUAGUGGGGAAUACCCCUGGGAAACCGGGGACAAUACCGCAUAAGCUCGUGAGAGGAAAGCCGAAAGGCGCUGAAAGAGGAGUCCGCGGCUGAUUAGCUAGAUGGUGAGGUAAUGGCUCACCAUGGCGAAGAUCGGUAGCCGGCCUGAGAGGGCACACGGCCACACUGGCACUGAAACACGGGCCAGACUCCUACGGGAGGCAGCAGUGGGGAAUCUUGCACAAUGGGGGAAACCCUGAUGCAGCGACGCCGCGUGAGCGAUGAAGCCCUUCGGGGUGUAAAGCUCUUUCGACGGGAACGAUAAUGACGGUACCCGAAGAAGAAGCUGCGGCUAACUACGUGCCAGCAGCCGCGGUAAUACGUAGGCAGCGAGCGUUGUUCGGAAUUACUGGGCGUAAAGAGUGCGUAGGCGGUGCUCUAAGUUUGGUGUGAAAUCUCCCGGCUCAACUGGGAGGGUGCGCCGAAAACUGGAGUGCUCGAGUAUGGGAGAGGUAAGCGGAAUUCCUGGUGUAGCGGUGAAAUGCGUAGAUAUCAGGAGGAACACCUGUGGUGUAGACAGCUUACUGGACCAUGACUGACGCUGAGGCACGAAAGCGUGGGUAGCAAACAGGAUUAGAUACCCUGGUAGUCCACGCCCUAAACGAUGCAUACUUGGUGUGAGCGAUUCAUUUCGUUCGUGCCGG
Molecule: ribosomal RNA, 735 nt
Filed under: uncultured bacterium
Lineage: Bacteria
Description: bacterial SSU rRNA
Rfam family: Bacterial small subunit ribosomal RNA
Source: RNAcentral